GAAAGAGAGAGAUAAUUUUGGGGCAAACUUUUCUGAGUUUUAUUUAUGCUUAUCAAAAACGGGAAAACAACCUACUACUUAUCUAAACUUCAUGCUAGAAAUAAGGAAACAACUACCCACGUGACUACUAAGCUACAAAGAGGGAAAAUGGCCUACAUGGCCUUUGAUUACUUCAACCUGACUUACAUAAAAGUAAAUAAAAAUAAUAGAUACUCAAAAUUACUUAAUUGCCCCCCAUGUCUUCUGGAUUAACCCAACAGACUCCCCUUUAAUCCAGAACUCUUCGUGUCCUUCACCCCAAGGAGUCUUCGCAUCUCUAUAAAAUUGACUUUGGCUAAAGACUUUGUGAAUAUGUCGGCUUUUUGUUCUUUGCUGCAUACGAACUUGACGACCACCUCUCCCCUUUCUACACACUCCCUGAUAAAGUGGUAUCUUGUAUCUAUGUGUUUGCUCCGUCCGUGAAAAACCGGGUUUCGAACUAAGUCAAUCGCUGACCUGUUAUCGAGGUAGAGGGUCACCGGUUUUAUUUUCUCACCAGUUAUUCCUUUUAUUAGCCGACGGAUCCAUAUCCCUUGACACGUUGCUGACGUAGCAGCCAUGAAUUCUGCCUCACAUGAUGAGAGAGCCACACAUCUUUGUUUCUGUGAGGCCCAUGCUACUAAGCUUGCAUUUAGAUAAAAUGCCAUGCCACCUGUACUCCUUCUAUCAUUCAAAUCUCGUGCAUGGUUGCUAUCUGAAUACCCAAUGAUUUCAGUUUCAUCUUUUCCUCUUUCAUAAAUCAGACCAAAAUCGAUGGUCCCUUUGAUGUACCUCAAUAUCCUCUUGACUACCCGUUGAUGUUGUACAUUGGGUCUUUCCAUGAACCGACUCGCCAUGCCCACUGCGUAGGAUAUGUCAGGCCUGGUGUGUGUAAGGUAUCGGAGUCCACCAAUAAUGCUUCUAUACUCCGUUGGGUUUACCGGUGUGCCUUCUUCAUCCUUGGUAAGCUCCAACUUCGGUUCCAUGGGAUAUAGAGAAGGAUUGCAUUCUGUCAUUCCAGCUUUUGUGAGGAUACUUCUGGCAUACGCUGUUUGCUUUAUACUUAUGCCAUCUUGAUGUUGAGCUACUUCUAUUCCCAAGUAAUAUGAGAGAGUACCAAGAUCACUCAUCUCAAAUUCAUCAUUCAUUUGUUGCUUGAAUUUAGACACCUCCACUUUACAAUUACCUGUCACAAUCAAAUCGUCCACAUAAACUCCAACGAUUAAGAGCUUACCAUUCUUGCUUCUUGUAUACACCGCAUACUCUUGAGGGCAUCUUUGAAAACCCAUAGCUUUCAGACUUUUGUCGAGACAUGAGUUCCAGGCUCUAGGUGCUUGGCGAAGGCCAUAGAGAGCCUUGGAUAAUUUCAACACCUUUUCAGGUUCCUUUGGGUUUACGAAUCCUUUGGGUUGUGACACAUAUACUUCCUCCUUUAACUCUCCAUUUAGGAAGGCAGAUUUGACAUCGAGAUGAAAAACCGGCCACCCGUGUUUACCUGCUAUGGCGAGUAUGAUUCGGAUUGUUUCAAUUCUUGCGACGGGAGCAAAUACUUCAUCGAAAUCCAACCCUUGCUUUUGAACAUACCCUUUUGCGACUAGUCUCGCCUUAUGCUUCAAGACUUCUCCUUGCGGAUCUCUUUUUAACUUAUACACCCAUUUCAAGCCAAUAGGCUUUCGACCUACCGGUAAAUCAACGAGCUUCCAUGUGUGAUUUCUCUCAAUUGCUUCAAGUUCCGACUUCAUCGCCUUGACCCAUUCUCUUUUUGUAGAAGCCAUGGAAUAAUUAACGGGUUCAUCCAUGUCUUGCAUAAAUAAAAGCUCGUCACAUUCUUCAUAUAAUUCAGCCAAGGUUCUGUAUCGCUUUGGUGCACCGCCUCCUGUUGAUGAUGAGGCUGGACUAGUGGACCCUACUGAGCUUGUUGGUGUUGUUGGGAUGGGUGUUUAUUGAUGAUCACUUGACUAGGUAUCUUGUUCUAAUGGGGAUUCGUGAACCACUUCUUCACUUACGUAGUCAUCACCUGGUGCAUGGUUUAAAGGAGUGAGUGGGUCAACACCUUGUACCUCAUGUUCUUGAUCUUGUACCAUGGUUCCAAAUGUGAGAAUUACUCCAGGAGUUGCUCGAAUUUUCUUAGCUGAUUCCCAUGGCCAAACCUUGUUUUCUUCGAAAUACACAUCUCUACUCACUCGUAUCCUUCCCGUGUUUGGGUCCAACAACCUGUAGGCUUUACUUCCUGCUUCCAUUCCCAAGUGUACCAAUACCUCACUACGAUUAUCAAGCUUUUGCAAGUUCCCUCGCAUCAGCUUUGCAUGAGCUAAACACCCAAACACUCUAACAUGCUCUAGAUUUGGUUUCCGCCCGGACCACACCUCAUAAGGUGUUUUGUCUCCCAAUGCUUUCGUUGUCACACGGUUAAGGAUAUAAGUUGCAUGUCGUGCUGCUUCUCCCCACAAAACCUUCGGAAUCUCCAUGCUACUUAACAUGCUUCGUAUCAUCUCCACAACCGUGCGGUUACGCCUUUCGACAACGCCGUUUUGCUGUGGCGAAUAUGGUGCUGUAAAAUGGUGUCUUAAGCCUGAUUCGUCACAAUACGCUUCAAAUUGUUUUGAGAAAAACUCGCCUCCUCGGUCUGUUCGUAACACUUUCAUCUUUUCACCCCUUUCAUUCUCAACAAGCAAACGGAUUUUUCGAAAUACCCCUAAUGCUUCAUCCUUAUCUUUUAACAAAUAUAACCACAUCACACGACUGAAAUCAUCUACAAGUAACAGGAAAUACCUGUUUCCAGAUGGUGUAGAAGGUGUGAUCGGACCACAAAGAUCUGCAUGUAUCAGUUCUAAUCUAGCCUUGGCUCUAUAAAAUGUGUGUGUAGGAAAUGGAUUUCGAGAGUGUUUACCAUCUAUACAACCUUUACACAGCUGUACAGGCUGCUCCACGUUGGGCAAUCCCAAUACAAUCUUUUUCUCUGCCAUCCUUUUAAGUGAUUGAAAAUUCACGUGCCCUAAGCGGGCAUGCCACAACCAUGAUGUUUCUUCACUACUCCCUAGCAAACACUUUGGUUUUGCCUCAUUUAGAAUGAUCUUGUAGAGACGGUUAGGGGAUCUUUUUACUUUCAUUAAGAGUCUUCCAGUUUUGUCACGAACCCAUAAAAACGAACCUUUCAUGAGAAUCUCAUCACCAAUCUCCGCUAAUUGCCCCAAGCUUAUUAUAUUGCUACAUAGACUUGGGAUAAAAUACACCUCCUGUAGCACUCGUCUUUCAUCUGUCUUACAUUGAAAGACAAUGGAUCCUUUGCCUUCUAUCCGCACCUUAGACCCAUCUCCAAACCUUACGUAACCCCGAAUACCUUCAUCAAGUUCCUGAAACUUAUCUUUGUCGCCUGUCAUGUGGUUCGAUGCCCCGUUAUCCAGGUACCAUACUUUCGUCUAGUUCUCUAUAUCUUUUGAACUCUUUAACUUUGGUACUACAUGUUGUUCGUUCAGAUACACUUCCUCUUGGGCUUCAACUGGUUGAAACUUAGCUAACAAAAGUGCUGGUUCAUCUUCAUCUUGGCCUUGGUCAGAUGCACCUCCUGAUUCCUUUCCUUCCGUGGGUUCUUGCACUCUGAGGCGUAAUGGCCAAAAUCUUGGCAGUUGUAACAUUGUACCCUGGUUUUGUCUCUGCUACUCCCAGUAUCAUGUCUAUUAUUGCGGUGCUGAUGAGGGCCGCCACCCCUCCGUCCGCCACCGUUGUUCCAGCCGCCUCUUCCACGGCCACGACCCCGUCCACGUGUGUUUGAGUAUCCUCCCCUACCAUUCUUUUGUGACAUCCGUUGAGCCUCAUCAUUUUUCUUUUUACUCUUCUCAAGCCACUCUUGUUGGGUCAACAACACUUUUCCUUCACUGUUUUCCCCUCGACCAUGUACCCUCUCUUCAUGGGCUUUUAACCGUCCCACCACUUCUUCAACAGACAUAGUCUCGAGAUCAGCAAACUGCUCUAUUGUAGAGGCAAUAUGCAGGAAUUUUUCUGGAACGGCUCUAAGCAAUUUCUUCACAACAUACGACUCUUCUAGUUUAUCUCCCAAUGCCCUAAUAUUACUCACGAUGUUGUUUACUUUCCCAGCAAACUCAUCAAUGGUGUCCACUUCUUUCAUGCUUAAGACUUCGAACUCAGCCUUAAGAGUUUGAACUCUUGCUGUCUUUACUCUGUCCGCUCCAAGGAACAUAGUCUUCAGCGCUUCCCACGCCUCCUCAGCUGUUUGUUUCUCAGCCAAUGACAACAAUAAGUCUUCCGGUAUCCCUUGAUAGAUGGCCGCCAUCGCCAUUUUAUCCUUCUUUUGUUCGACUACUGUGUUCGUGGUUUUGGGCUCAACUGCAUCCCACACGCCUUGGGCUUGCAUGAAGACUUUCAUCUUUAUCGCCCAAGCAGCAUAAUUGUUUCUGGACAACAUCGGGUAAUGAAGCAUAACCUGGCUUUCCUUUUCGUUUCUAUCUCCCAUAGUUGCUGGUCUUGGUUGGUACUUAGGCAUAUACCGUGAGCUCUGAUACCAAAUUGUGGGGCAGAGAAAGAGAGAGAUAAUUUUGGGGCAAACUUUUUUGAGUUUUAUUUAUGCUUAUCAAAAACGGGUAAACAACCUGCUACUUAUCUAAACUUCAUGCUAGAAAUAAGGAAACAACUACCCACGUGACUACUAAGCUACAAAGAGGGAAAAUGGCCUACAUGGCCUUUGAUUACUUCAACCUGACUUACGUAAAAGUAAAUAAAAAU
This 4758-nucleotide long non-coding RNA is filed under the name Lactuca sativa (garden lettuce). RNAcentral's name for it is "long non-coding RNA (LSAT_LNC000975)". Lineage: Eukaryota; Viridiplantae; Streptophyta; Magnoliopsida; Asterales; Asteraceae. The record is from RNAcentral.